GACGAACGCUGGCGGCGUGCUUAACACAUGCAAGUCGAACGGAAAGGCCCUGCUUUUGUGGGGUGCUCGAGUGGCGAACGGGUGAGUAACACGUGAGUAACCUGCCCUUGACUUUGGGAUAACUUCAGGAAACUGGGGCUAAUACCGGAUAGGAGCUCCUGCUGCAUGGUGGGGGUUGGAAAGUUUCGGCGGUUGGGGAUGGACUCGCGGCGUAUCAGCUUGUUGGUGGGGUAGUGGCUUACCAAGGCUUUGACGGGUAGCCGGCCUGGGAGGGUGGCCGGCCCCAUUGGGCCUGAGCUGCGGCCCAGCCUCCUACGGGAGGCAGCAGUGGGGAAUAUUGCACAAUGGGCGGAAGCCUGAUGCAGCAACGCCGCGUGCCGGAUGACGGCCUUCGGGUUGUAAACCGCUUUCGCCUGUGACGAAGCGUGAGUGACGGUAAUGGGUAAAGAAGCACCGGCUAACUACGUG
Molecule: ribosomal RNA, 468 nt
Filed under: uncultured bacterium
Lineage: Bacteria
Description: partial 16S ribosomal RNA
Rfam family: Bacterial small subunit ribosomal RNA
Source: RNAcentral